RNAcentral lists this ribosomal RNA (316 nucleotides) under uncultured bacterium. Its description in RNAcentral is "bacterial SSU rRNA". It matches the Rfam family "Bacterial small subunit ribosomal RNA", at positions 28 to 334 of the family's 1533-position model. The record is from RNAcentral.
GACGAACGCUGGCGGCGUGCCUAAUACAUGCAAGUAGAACGCUGAAGACUGGUACUUGCACUAGUCAGAUGAGUUGCGAACGGGUGAGUAACGCGUAGGUAACCUACCUCAUAGCGGGGGAUAACUAUUGGAAACGAUAGCUAAUACCGCAUGACAAUUAAGUACUCAUGUACUAAAUUUAAAAGGAGCAAUUGCUUCACUAUGAGAUGGACCUGCGUUGUAUUAGCUAGUUGGUGAGGUAACGGCUCACCAAGGCCACGAUACAUAGCCGACCUGAGAGGGUGAUCGGCCACACUGGGACUGAGACACGGCCCAG